CCUACGGGAGGCAGCAGUGAGGAAUAUUGGUCAAUGGUCGGGAGACUGAACCAGCCAAGCCGCGUGAGGGAUGAAGGUACAGAGUAUCGUAAACCUCUUUUGUCAGGGAACAAAGGCGGGGACGCGUCCCCGGAUGAGUGUACCUGAAGAAAAAGCAUCGGCUAACUCCGUGCCAGCAGCCGCGGUAAUACGGGGGAUGCGAGCGUUAUCCGGAUUUAUUGGGUUAAAAGGGUGCGCAGGCGGUCUGUUAAGUCAGCGGUCAAACCCCGGGGCUCAACCCCGGCCCGCCGUUGAAACUGGCAGUCUCGAGUUGGAGAGAAGUAUGCGGAAUGCGCGGUGUAGCGGUGAAAUGCAUAGAUAUCGCGCAGAACUCCGAUUGCGAAGGCAGCAUGCCGGCUCCACACUGACGCUGAGGCACGAAAGCGUGGGUAUCGAACAGGAUUAGAUACCCCUGUAGUC
This 459-nucleotide ribosomal RNA is filed under the name uncultured bacterium. RNAcentral describes it as "partial 16S ribosomal RNA". It matches the Rfam family "Bacterial small subunit ribosomal RNA", at positions 338 to 795 of the family's 1533-position model. The record is from RNAcentral.